This 492-nucleotide ribosomal RNA is filed under the name uncultured bacterium. RNAcentral's name for it is "partial 16S ribosomal RNA". It matches the Rfam family "Bacterial small subunit ribosomal RNA", at positions 30 to 507 of the family's 1533-position model. The record is from RNAcentral.
AGUGAACGCUGGCGGUAGGCCUAACACAUGCCAGUCGAACGGCAGCACAGUAAGAGCUUGCUCUUACGGGUGGCGAGGGGCGGACGGGUGGGGAAUACCUCGGAAUCUACUUUUUCGUGGGUGAUAACGUAGGGAAACUUACGCUAAUACCGCAUACGACCGACGGGUGAAAGCAGGGGAGCUUCGGACGUUGCGCGUGGGCAUGAGCCGAUGUCGGAUGAGCGAGUUGGCGGGGUAAAGGCCCACCUAGGCGACGAUCCGUAACUGGGCUGAGAGGGUGUAGCGCGCCACUGGGAGUGAGACGCGGUACAGGCUCCUACAGGCGGCCGAGGUGGCGACUGGAGGCAGAUGGGGGGAAGCCUGCACCAGCGAUGCAGGGUGGGUGAAGAAGGGCUUUGGGUUGUAAAGCCGUUUUGUUGGGGAAGAAAAGCAGCACGUUAGUAGCAGGCUGUUCUGACGGUACCCGGAGAAUAAGCACCGGCUAACUUCGUG